UACAGGGGGGGCAAGCGUUGUUCGGAAUUACUGGGCGUAAAGGGCUCGUAGGCGGCCAACUAAGUCACACGUGAAAUCCCCAGGCUUAACCUGGGAACUGCGUGUGAUACUGGAUGGCUUGAAUCCGGGAGAGGGAUGCGGAAUUUCAGGUGUAGCGGUGAAAUGCGUAGAUAUCUGGAGGAACACCGGUGGCGAAGGCGGCAUCCUGGACCGGUAUUGACGCUGAUGAGCGAAAGCCAGGGGAGCAAACGGG
RNAcentral lists this ribosomal RNA (253 nucleotides) under uncultured bacterium. RNAcentral describes it as "partial 16S ribosomal RNA". It matches the Rfam family "Bacterial small subunit ribosomal RNA", at positions 524 to 776 of the family's 1533-position model. The record is from RNAcentral.